Molecule: long non-coding RNA, 931 nt
Filed under: Pan troglodytes (chimpanzee)
Lineage: Eukaryota; Metazoa; Chordata; Mammalia; Primates; Hominidae
Description: long non-coding RNA NONPTRT005602
Source: RNAcentral
GUGGUGGACCAGCAGCUGCUCUACACCUGCUGCCCCUACAUCGGAGAGCUCCGGAAACUGCUCGCUUCGUGGGUGUCAGGCAGUAGUGGACGGAGUGGGGGCUUCAUGAGGAAAAUCACCCCCACCACUACCACCAGCCUGGGAGCCCAGCCUUCCCAGACCAGCCAGGGGCUGCAGGCACAGCUCGCCCAGGCCUUUUUCCACAACCAGCCGCCCUCCUUGCGCCGGACCGUAGAGUUUGUGGCAGAAAGAAUUGGAUCAAACUGUGUCAAACAUAUCAAGGCUACACUGGUGGCAGAUCUGGUGCGCCAGGCAGAGUCACUUCUCCAAGAGCAGCUGGUGACACAGGGAGAGGAAGGGGGAGACCCAGCCCAGCUGUUGGAGAUCUUGUGUUCCCAGCUGUGCCCCCACGGGGCCCAGGCAUUGGCCCUGGGGCGGGAGUUCUGUCAAAGGAAGAGCCCUGGGGCUGUGCGGGCGCUGCUUCCAGAGGAGACCCCGGCAGCCGUACGUGUGAGGGAGGCCUGCAGCUAGCAGGCCAGGCAGUUGUGGGGAGGUGCACGGAGUAGUCUGAGGCUGCGGGAGGGUGUGUGGGGGCGGGGUCAGUGCUCGACUCUGGCAUCCUUUGUUGCACCCGGCCCUCCCCUAGCCCCUGACUCUGUAGUUCUGUUUCGCAGGUUCUGAGCAGUGCAGAGAACAUUGCUGUGGGGCUUGCAACAGAGAAAGCCUGUGCUUGGCUGUCAGCCAACAUCACAGCACUGAUCAGGAGGGAGGUGAAAGCAGCAGUGAGUCGCACACUUCGAGCCCAGGGUCCUGAACCUGCUGCCCGGGGGGAGCGGAGGGGCUGCUCCCGCGCCUGUGAGCACCAUGCUCCCCUCCCCUCCCACCUCAUCUCCGAGAUAAAAGUACACGGCUACCCUACUCCCUUUGGCUU